Molecule: ribosomal RNA, 468 nt
Filed under: beta proteobacterium Z5
Lineage: Bacteria; Pseudomonadati; Pseudomonadota; Betaproteobacteria
Description: bacterial SSU rRNA
Rfam family: Bacterial small subunit ribosomal RNA
Source: RNAcentral
CCGCGUGAGUGAAGAAGGCCUUCGGGUUGUAAAGCUCUUUUGUCAGGGAAGAAACAGCAGCUCUAACACAGUCUGCGAAUGACGGUACCUGAAGAAUAAGCACCGGCUAACUACGUGCCAGCAGCCGCGGUAAUACGUAGGGUGCAAGCGUUAAUCGGAAUUACUGGGCGUAAAGCGUGCGCAGGCGGUUAUACAAGACAGGCGUGAAAUCCCCGGGCUUAACCUGGGAAUGGCGUCUGUGACUGUAUGACUAGAGUGUGUCAGAGGGGGGUAGAAUUCCACGUGUAGCAGUGAAAUGCGUAGAUAUGUGGAGGAAUACCAAUGGCGAAGGCAGCCCCCUGGGAUAACACUGACGCUCAUGCACGAAAGCGUGGGGAGCAAACAGGAUUAGAUACCCUGGUAGUCCACGCCCUAAACAUGCCGACUAGUUGUUGGGAAUUUACAUUCUCAGUAACGUACUUACGCGUG